This 468-nucleotide ribosomal RNA is filed under the name uncultured bacterium. RNAcentral's name for it is "partial 16S ribosomal RNA". It matches the Rfam family "Bacterial small subunit ribosomal RNA", at positions 28 to 507 of the family's 1533-position model. The record is from RNAcentral.
GACGAACGCUGGCGGCGUGCUUAACACAUGCAAGUCGAACGGUGAUGCUCAAGCUUGCUGGAGUGGAUCAGUGGCGAACGGGUGAGUAACACGUGAGCAACCUGCCCCAGACUCUGGAAUAAGCGCUGGAAACGGCGUCUAAUACUGGAUACGAAACUGGCCCGCAUGGGGUUGGUUUAGGAAGUUUUUCGGUUUGGGAUGGGCUCGCGGCCUAUCAGCUUGUUGGUGAGGUAAUGUCUCACCAAGGCGACGACGGGUAGCCGGCCUGAGAGGGCGACCGGCCACACUGGGACUGAGACACGGCCCAGACUCCUACGGGAGGCAGCAGUGGGGAAUAUUGCACAAUGGGCGAAAGCCUGAUGCAGCGACGCCGCGUGAGGGAUGACGGCCUUCGGGUUGUAAACCUCUUUCAGCAGGGAAGAAGCGAAAGUGACGGUACCUGCAGAAGAAGCACCGGCUAACUACGUG